UCUUUCUUCUUUUUCUCUUUUUUUCUUCUUCUCUCCUUUCUCUUCUUCCGGUCGCACAUCACCCAGCCCAAACCUCUCCUCUCCCCUCUUCUUAUCUUCUUCUCCCUUCUUCCUUUCCUUCGGUCGCCCAAACCAGCAGCAACCUUUUCCAUUUUCCCCUUCACCUUGCCACUCAUCCAUGCACCAGUGGGCUACCAAGAGAGUUUCUGAAUAGAGAUUAGCCGGAAUGGAGAGAGAACAUUGAAAAACACAAGGCUGAGAGAGAGAGAGAGAGAGAGAGAGAGAGAGAGAGAGAGAGAGAGACCGAAAUGCUUGAAAUUUUAGGGGUCAUGUCAUAAUUGGAGACUUUAAUGGGUUUUUCAAUGUUGAGUUCGAGUUGGAGUCCAAUGCAGCCAAGAAUUCAAAGUUGCUCAUGCCAAGUGAAGAAUCGGCUAAGGCAAAUCGAUCGAUCGAAUCAUCAGUCGAAGAAAAAUUAAUCGUGCGAAAUGCAAUCGAUCGAGACAGGGCAACCACGAAUGUGAUCGAACGAAAUGCGAUCGAUCGACUUUAUAAUCGAUCGAUCGAAUUUGGAUAUUUUCGGAACAAUCUGAAACAAUGUUGACAUGUACCUCUUCCUUGAUAUUUUAAAUAUCUUAGAUAUUUGUUAGA
Long non-coding RNA from Alnus glutinosa, 648 nucleotides. RefSeq lists it as uncharacterized. The transcript has 3 exons. Lineage: Eukaryota; Viridiplantae; Streptophyta; Magnoliopsida; Fagales; Betulaceae. The record is from RefSeq and is a predicted model, not a curated record.